UGGACUCACUUUGUAGACCAGGCUGGCCUCC
RNAcentral lists this non-coding RNA (31 nucleotides) under Mus musculus (house mouse). Lineage: Eukaryota; Metazoa; Chordata; Mammalia; Rodentia; Muridae. The record is from RNAcentral.